CCUACGGGAGGCAGCAGUGAGGAAUAUUGGUCAAUGGGCUUACGCCUGAACCAGCCAAGUCGCGUGAGGGAUGACUGCCCUAUGGGUUGUAAACCUCUUUUGUCAGGGAGUAAUUUGCGCUACGUGUAGCGUUAUCUAUAGUACCUGUAGAUAAGGCAUCGGCUAAUCCCGUCCCAGCACCCGCGUAAAUACGGAGGAUGCGAGGGUUAUCCGGAUUUAUUGGGUUUAAAGGGUGCGUAUGCGGAAUGCCAAGUCAGCGGUAAAAUCGCGGGGCCCAACCUCGCACAGCCGUUGAAACUGGCGGGCUUGAGUGCGCGAGAAGUAGGCGGAAUGCGUGGUGUAGCGGUGAAAUGCAUAGAUAUCACGAAGAACUCCGAUUGCGAAGGCAGCAUACCGGAGCGCAACGGACGCUGAAGCACGAAAGCGUGGGUAUCGAACAGGAUUAGAUACCCCAGUAGUC
Molecule: ribosomal RNA, 460 nt
Filed under: uncultured bacterium
Lineage: Bacteria
Description: partial 16S ribosomal RNA
Rfam family: Bacterial small subunit ribosomal RNA
Source: RNAcentral